Molecule: microRNA precursor, 95 nt
Organism: Bos grunniens (domestic yak)
Lineage: Eukaryota; Metazoa; Chordata; Mammalia; Artiodactyla; Bovidae
Source: Ensembl
AAUCUAGUAGGCAGGUGCUCACUCGUCCUUCUCCACGGUUAAAAAUACAGGGAGGAGGCCAGAAUGGCAACUAUCACUAUGAUUGUUUUCUUUGG